Molecule: signal recognition particle RNA, 307 nt
Filed under: Musa acuminata subsp. malaccensis (wild Malaysian banana)
Lineage: Eukaryota; Viridiplantae; Streptophyta; Magnoliopsida; Zingiberales; Musaceae
Description: Plant signal recognition particle RNA
Rfam family: Plant signal recognition particle RNA
Source: Rfam by way of RNAcentral
GCCGAGCCCGGUAGCGUGGGCUUGUAACCCGAGCGGGAGCCUUGAGGCGGUGGGAUGGUGUGUUUAACUCGACUGGGUUGGGUGCGACCGUACUAUACUCGGCUUGUCCGUUCCAAGUCAGGCAGCUGAGCCGUGCGGCCCGGGCGAAGGCUCGAGCUUCUUAGGAUCCUAAAGCGGAGGACACCGCGUCAGGCUGGCUUCACAGAGCAGCGACCACCUCCCGCUCUUGACGGUGGAGGGAUAACAGGCCGGUGUACGCCGCACUCACCGUACCCACAGGGUUAACGCCUAUCAAACCACCACCUUU